This 253-nucleotide ribosomal RNA is filed under the name uncultured prokaryote. Its description in RNAcentral is "partial 16S ribosomal RNA". It matches the Rfam family "Bacterial small subunit ribosomal RNA", at positions 524 to 776 of the family's 1533-position model. The record is from RNAcentral.
GACGAACCGUGCAAACGUUGUUCGGAAUCACUGGGCUUAAAGGGCGCGUAGGCGGACGCACAAGUCAGGGGUGAAAGCCCACGGCUCAACCGUGGAAGUGCCUUUGAUACUGUGUGUCUGGAGGGAGGUAGGGGCGUGCGGAAUUUCCGGUGGAGCGGUGAAAUGCGUAGAUAUCGGAAGGAACACCGGUGGCGAAAGCGGCGCGCUGGACCUCUACUGACGCUGAGGCGCGAAAGCCAGGGGAGCAAACGGG